CUGACAGAAGAGAGUGAGCACACGCAGGUAAUUGUAUUAGAAAAUAUCUUUGCAGGUGCGUGCUCGCUCCUCUUCUGUCAG
MicroRNA precursor from Citrus x clementina, 81 nucleotides. It matches the Rfam family "mir-156 microRNA precursor family". Rfam says of the family: This family represents the plant microRNA (miRNA) precursor mir-156. The record is from Rfam. Lineage: Eukaryota; Viridiplantae; Streptophyta; Magnoliopsida; Sapindales; Rutaceae.